GUAGGUGUUUGCCUUUUGACUGAGACCAUCUAUAAACAAGGCUGGGAUCCCAGGUCUGGCUCUGGGGCAGGGGAGCUCCAGGCCCUCGCCCUGGCAGCACAGUGAGGGAGGGACUCGCGGCUUUCAGCACCUCUUAAAUCAUCCCAGAGGGAGAGCCACUUACUUCCGCACGCACAGGCUGCCGCCGGCUCUGUCACAAGAAGAUGAACUACAAGUAAUAAAAUCAAGAUGAAGUUCUAUGUAAAUCUUUCCAGCUCACAAAGAUUGUAGAAAGUUGGAGAUGAAAAGGAUAUUAAAGACCUUCUAGUUCUACCUCGUCAUUCUGCAGCUGUAAAAACUGAGGCCCAGGGAGGUGUAUGGACUAACCCAUCAUCACACAGCUGCUCUGCGGCAGGAGUUGCACCAGCUUUCCGUGGCAUCCUUGCCAGUCCACUAGUCUAUAGCAUCUUUUGACUUUUGAAAACAGUGGAAGAGAAAUCAGUCCUCCAGCAUCUUCACUUCCCUCUGUUUAUUAUUUCCAGCUGCUAAAAAUGGGCACUUUUAAAAGUCGGUCGCCCUGCCAGUCAUUGAGGGUCAGUGCUCUGAGGAAUGCUGGUUUGCAGGAGUGGUGAAUAGGCCAGUGAUGGGAAGCGUAAUUGCCAGCCUCCUCCCUGGCACCUGGGGAUUGCUGUCAUUCAAGUCCCUGGGCGUGUGCCCUCAGCAAAUACUAACCCACAGAGUCAAUUGCUAACUCCAGUCAUCUGUACAUUUGCCCUCCAGGGAUGGAAAGCAGGAGGAAACGCCAUUUCCUAAUCUAGUUGGCCUUGGAUGGAAACGUGUUUUGGCCGGAUGGAAGCCUUCAGUGAGUCGAUGAUGCGUAUUUAGGACCUACAAUCAAUCCUCUCCAGGAUCUUUUACAGGACCCGGCUGUAGCGAAAAACUCACCAAUGCUUCUGGCUUUGCCUUUGCUUUAGUUGAGAGCUUUUGGUUGCAAGGAAUCAACUUGAGCUGGCUUAAUUAUUAAGGGAAAUAUGUGGUGAGGCAGUAUCUCAUGAAGCCCAAGGACAGAUGGCUACGAGGAAGCCAGGAAGCAGGCCUUCUCCAGCCUUCGCCUCUGCUCCACGUCUCUCUGCAAUCAACUCUCCUUCCUUCUUCUCUCUGGGCAGCUGAGUGGAAGAGGAUCCCUCACAACUGCCGGGUUUACACCCUCCCUACUGAAGAGGUCGGUCCCGGGUAGCUGGCUGUGCUCAAUCCGAGGCCACAUUCCCACGAGAGAGAAUGCGGUUGGCUCAGCCUGGGUCAGGUGCACAACCUGAUCCGGUCAAGGGUGGCCCCAAACAGGGUGCCCUGAGACAGGCAAGGCGGGGCGCUCACCCGCCUGGAUGACUGAAGGGCAGUUCUCCCAGACAGAAAAAUGACAUGCAGUGGGCUGGCACUGAAAAAGUGCGACUCUCAUAGGCUUCAGUCAAAUUAGUUAUUGACAGAGAAAAAGUGGAUGGUCCGGGUGGGAGUUCUGAGGAACAGUUCAGACACUCUGAGACCUUGAUGAUUUGCCUCAUUUCUUGAGUGAUAAAUUGCCUGUCAUGGAGCUGUAGCUGUUUAGAGAGCAGGCCCUGCACUUGAACCCCAUUCUCUGGGCUCUGUGAAGAAGGCCCAUUCAGACAACCUGAGGAUUUUCUUAACCUUUCAAGUGACUAUAUUAUAUAUUUUCAUCCUGUUGAGGUGCGUUAGCUAGAUAGAUACUGAAAAUGAAAUGAAAGUGUACUUUCAAACUUGUAUGUGUUGCUUUUUAUGUGUGUGUAGAUAGAUAGAUAGAUGGAUAGACAGAUAUUCCUAUACUUUUAAACACUUAACCUCUUUCCAGAAAGGACUGGCAGCAUCUUCUAAUGAAAACGCAGAAGAAGUACGGCCAAAAACCAUUAACACUAAAAAGGAAGGAAAAGCCCAGUAGCAAUCAGGCAGCAGCUGAGCAGCGUGACAGGUGAUGGACAGGAGGGUCAGGGUGGGAAGAAACUCGGGGAGAAUAGUUCAAGAGUUCAAUAUGCAAAAGAAAACAACACAAUAACCGGUUACCUAAAAUGGAAUAUGAGAGGCCUCAGAUGAUAUUCAUAGAAACAGUAUGUCCAGAAUAAAGGAGGGGAUGGUCCUGCUCUACUCUGCAAGUUAGGCCUCACCUGGAAGAUUGGAGGCAAUUCUGGGUUACUCCCUUAUACAGAGGUAGUAACCAGCUAAAAUAUAGAGAGAAUACAGCAACUCAGAUGGAAAGGGUCUUGAAGUCAUGUCACAUCCCUGCUCUCAAUCCUGCAGAGUGUAGCCCUGUCAAGGCCACUUGACCCCGGGCUCCCUCUCACACCUCCUUUCCUGCCUCUCUCCCCUUCCUGUCACCGCUCCUGCAUGCUGGCCUCCCCAAUAUUCCACAGACAUCCAGCAUUGCUCACAGAGGGCUGUUGCCCUCUCCUGCAGUCACACGGCUCAUCUCCUCAGUGGGUCAGGGCUUUGCUGAUACCUCGCCUCCUCACUGGGACGCCCCUGGCCUCCCAACCUACAGCAGCACCCCAUUUCCCAGUCUCUUAACUCGCUUUCCUGGCAGUGUCCUAUC
Molecule: long non-coding RNA, 2578 nt
Organism: Equus caballus (horse)
Lineage: Eukaryota; Metazoa; Chordata; Mammalia; Perissodactyla; Equidae
Source: Ensembl